Molecule: long non-coding RNA, 613 nt
Organism: Lineus longissimus
Lineage: Eukaryota; Metazoa; Nemertea; Pilidiophora; Heteronemertea; Lineidae
Exons: 3
Source: RefSeq, a predicted model, not a curated record
AGUUGAGAUUUGAUGUCAUGAUAUUCGAUGCCUUCAUUAUUUCUAACUUGGAGAUGAAAAACCAUGAAGGUCUUCGGACGGUUGUGCCAAACCUUAUGGUGUUUAGCAGCAUUGAUGACUAUUAGCAAAGGAUUUCGAGAGAUCGUCUGCGGCGCUAAGAAUGUCACCAUAAGUUGUGGCAGAGACAAAGGCAUUGCCAUCAAGCGGUUAUAUGGUUGUGAUGACUGUCGCAGAGACGGGUGCGCCGAGUCUAUCCUGGAUAAGGAGAACAAUGACAGAGUUUGGUCCAGGUGCAACAUGUCCUCAAGUUGUAAUAUCGUGCCGUCGAAUAUAAAGGAAGGACAGGGUUUGGGGGUGGAAUAUCACUGCGCCGGCAAUGUCACAGGCUGCAAUAACGACACAAUCUCCCUCUAUUGCCUUGGACAACAAACAAUCCAUCUGACAAAAUAUUAUCAGCUGGGUUGCUGCCAAGAGUCUAGGAAUUGUGUUCCGACGGAAACGGAGGUUUCUGUUAACGCAACAUCGCUUGGACGGUACAUCUCACUGAGUUGCCAAGGCAAGCAGAAUUGUCAGAAACGGGUGCCAGAAACAGCUCUCCGGGUACAUUAUUUGU